UAAAUUGAGAGAGUUGUGCGAUGCAAAGACUGAAAAGGAACUUGAGAGAAUUCUCCCCAUACGACGUCGUGAGGAAAAAAGGAGAGAGUUCUCCCUGUAUACGUUGAUGUUGAGAGGAAGGAGAACCUUGCACUUCUGGAGAGAAACACACAUGAAGCCAAACUUGAAGGAGCUCUAAGUCAGAAAACGAAUUGAGAACCUGAGAAGACAAAAAAAAGCUUGAGCUCAAAGUUUGUCUCGGUCAAAAGGAAAGUGGUUAGCGCCUCCUCCAGGUGUAUUCAAGAUCAAUGUUGAUGGUGCUACUUCGGAUUGUGAAAAGAACUCUAGUGUGGGAGCUGUUAUAAGGGAUUCAGCUGGUAAUAUUGUUGCCGCUUGCUGUAAAUAUCUUCAGGGUCAAUACUUGGUGGAGGAAGUUGAAGCUUUGGCUAUGGAAUGUGGUCUUCUUCUUGCCAAAGAGCAAAAGCUUUCCCAAA
Molecule: long non-coding RNA, 473 nt
Organism: Quercus robur (English oak)
Lineage: Eukaryota; Viridiplantae; Streptophyta; Magnoliopsida; Fagales; Fagaceae
Exons: 2
Source: RefSeq, a predicted model, not a curated record